UGUUGCACAAGUCUGUUGCCAUGGGGAUUCUGGCGCAGUGACUUUGCAGUAGUGCGGCUGCGGGAGUGGAGGAUUUCUUUUUGCGAGGGAGACUCCGGCAAAAAACAAAAACUGUUCGUGAGUUUAAGCUUCAACCACCAAUUAUGUGGAGGGGGCAUUUAUUUUAGAAAGAGAGUUGUGAAGCUUUACUUUGACCGGAAGCCUGGGCCUGCCACUGAGACCUUUUUAGUGUUUUCAUACUACCUCACCGUCUCGAUUAAAUUAAGGAUCGGUCACCACGCGAAUGGUUAGCAGAAAAAUCCAUUUCAAUAAAGGGAAAAAAAGGGAGAGCUAAUGAAGGCUUCAUAAUUGCAUGUUCCCUGGAUAAAAGUGUUAAUUAAAUACAAAGGCUGCAUAGAAAACAGUAAUUUAUUGGUCGAGAAGAGGAGGCUGCUUAGAGUAUUGAAGAUAUAAUCAGCAGCAUGGAUGAAUACAUUUUAAUUAAUAAUAAAUAUACUAUGGAUAUGUACAAACAUAGAUACAUAUAUUUAUAAAAUCACAACAAAUUUCAACCCUGCCCUCAAUACAGAAAAUUAAUAAAAGAUAUUGGUCUUCUUUGGAUAACCACUCAGGAAAGGUGAGACAUAAAUAUAAUGUCCCUGUUGGCUAUCAAUGAUAUUAUUGAAUUGGUUUGUGGUGAUGUGUUAGGGUGUAAAUAAUGGAAAACAGAUGGGAUCAGUCACCAUGUAUUGUGAAUCCUACACUGUAUAAGGUAUGAAUGUAGUCGCUCUGACCUCAGCCAAGGGUUUCUAAAGCUCAAAGUGAGCUUGAUUUAAAAACUGUUAAUGAACCUGCCGCACUGUUGUCAUGAACAGCAUUAGCUUUAGAGAUCAAAACAAGGCUUUAAACAUACAUAUUUCUGCUCUGACAUAUUAAACAUAAGGAUCUAAGUCUCAAGUGGCUUGGCAGAACUGAAUUACUUGAAUACCGGAAAAUAUAUAACUAAAUUACUCUACAUUCACAUGCGCGCAUUUAACAUUUAAUUCAAGUAUCUCACUUCUUCUUUUGCUUCUUCUUCUACAUCAAUUCAUUCUUUCUGGUCUGUAUUGGGAAGAGGUCAUAUUCAUUUUCAAACCUUGAAGAAUGUCAUGAGUAUGUAAACAAAUAAAACUAUUUACCGUUUAAAUGACAUGAUCUGAUGCAUAGUGUUCACCAAGACUGCAAAUUCCUAUCUUUUGCACCAUAAUCUCACUCUGUGACCCACCUGACGUCUCUUGCCAUAAGUAGGUGAUAAAGGCCUUGUGUAAUUGUCAGUAGUACCUGGGAUUUGGAUACACUGAGACUUUCAACCUGUAUGACAUUCUCCCAUGAGCCUUAAGACGGCACAAGCUAUUAGGUCCACCGUUUCUGAUAUGACAGAUGGGAGGGAUUUAAUCCUCCCAUUUCCUUUGAGUACCUUUGCAGACCAUGCAUUUUCAUUGGUGAAUAGACAGCAAGGGAGUUCAACAGUUAGAAAACUAAAUACCUGAAUGCUUCAUUGAAUUCCAAAAGAAAAUGAAAAACAGAAUCAAUAUUUGGACAUUUAUGCAUUUUACAAGUUAAGCUUUUUGAUUUGAGAAUCAACACAGGAGACGGAGAUGAGUUGGUAUUGAACGCAAUUAAAACUUCAGCUGAGUCUCAAUAGGGGCUUUGAUAAUGAUACAGAUGAGUUGGAUAUUCUACACAGCAUAGUGCUUCCUAAAAGAGCAAGCAUUUUAGUUUUUCUGUAAAUAGGAACAUCUAGAACCUAACAAACAAUGACCAUAUGUCAUCCCCAUGGAUGUCAUCCUUUGGGAGGCCAAGGCUAAUUGCCUUCACACCAUGAGUUUUACCUUCAUGGUACAGAUGGGAUAGACUUGGGAAUUUGAAUUUGCUCCCCCAUACAAAACAAAUGUGUCUAAAACCCAAUGCAGCUUUUUGUGGCAUUUGUUAACAUUAAUAUCUUGAUGAAAAAUACCUCCAAAAGCCUCCAUCACUGCUGUGACGCUGAGAAACAUAUGUUCAAAUACAGAUGUUGAGAUCAUGCUCAAGAUGAAAUCGAAUAUGGACCCAAAGCCCCUAUGGCCAGAGUUGGAAUAUCAAAUGCAGCUACAACGCACAACAUAGAUCCCAACAUAGGAUCUUAGGACACUGUGUAACCACAGGAAACUCUUAAUUUACAUUGUGUAGCUAGGUUCCUUUAAUUGUCACUGUUGUAUUUGGCCUUUUUUACUGUUUACUUCAACCGGCAAAUUUUAAUUCCAACGAAAGACUCGAUCAUCUUCACUUAUAGGUUCCUCCUCUUGCUGAACGUGUGUUUACCGGUGGGGGGAGAGUUUGGUUGGAAGGGAAAACUGUCCAGGCAAAGACAAUCUACCCUAUUUAAACUGUUUCAUUCAAAUGCUUUAAGCAACAAUGUUCUCACCAACACACUCUGAAGUUGCUGGGCUCCAAAAGCAGGUUGACAACCAGAGGGCCCUAACGAAGAAAGGUGAGACAUACAGUGUGGUCAUAUGAGAGAAGUGGGGACUGAGAAAGACGUGUGAAGGGGGGAAGAAAACAGAGAUUUACAGAAUCUGUGUUUUUACCUCUGAUUCCACCUGGAAGGCUGGCCAGUACUCCAAGAAGUCCUCCAGUGAUCUCUUUUUCCUGAACCAUCUCCUGGCAGCGAUGGGCUAAGGUUGUCAGCAUAAGCUUUUCUAUCAACAACAGGUUUCUCUCAUUCUUCCCCACUUCAUUGACAACCUGGGGUCUCAUUUCUUCCACCCUGCUCUGAUGCUCUCCUCUGGGACAGUUUGGAAGGCACUUCACUUCAUCUUGUCCGGCUCUUUUAACAUUGGAGUAGGGAUUCUCAUUGUCAGAGUUAUAUCUGCUCCCUUUGCCUGUGUUGAUAAGUUACUCUAGACUUCAAGUCCUGGGAAGCUUGGUCGGAUAAUCUCCCAUUUAAAAUGUGAGGCCCCUCUUCUAUCCUCACCAUCGACUCACAUAACCGGGCUCCUUAGGACAUCGAUGGGCUGUAACGAGAGCAGACCCGUGUCCCUGUCAUUUUGGUAAGAUAUGAAGGUGUGCACGGCACAAGACGCAGAUAUCCGAGGAUGUCUAUAUCGGAACUUGUGCAUGAGCUGCUGUCUGUUUCUGAUCUGAAAACUUUCACUGUGCCUUUCUUUAGUAACUUUUGAAUGUCCUCUAGAUAGCUUAGUUGUCCAGUCAGGUUACUCAUACUGCAGGGUAAACUCAAAGUCUAGGCAGGGUGUGACUUUUAUGGGUAAGUCUAUAGCAAAGUAAACGUGCAGCAGGAAUUUCUGGGGUAUUGCCAUAAUCUGAUGGACAGAUCCAUCCAUAACGGAUUGAAAUGGAAAAAACGCCUGUUUUGUUAAAUGGUGUAAAUACAUAACAAAAUUAAACCUACCUUAAAAUGGAAGAAGCCGGAUUCUUUACUGUGGCGUUUAAAUGUAGGUCACAAAUUAACGUUCACAGAUAUAAAUCUACUUUCAGUGUAACGGUUCAUGUUCACUGUGGGAAGUUCCUAUGUUCUCAAUUUUGUUCUUGGCCAAUAAAUGUGGAAUCUCCAAUUUUGUCAAACUGAGCACUAACGCCCCACAGAUACAAGCGCAUCAACUUCAUAAUUAGUGCUAUCAAUAAUGAUCUUUGCUGUUCAUGUGCUGUUAAUCAUUUUGCUCUCCUUUUUUUAUGUGCUCCUUUGCCACCUCAAUAAACACUGAAACACACAUUUGCUGAAUUUGUCUGCGGAUGUGGUUUAAAGAAUGAUGCCGUGCUGAGGUAGUGUGCCACCAUGUGCUGAUGCCUAGUGUUUUUAAUACUUUCCGUUUACCAUUUAAGCAGGUCAUGUAUUCAAACAAUAAUUUUUUUGCAUUCAAAUCUCAGUCCACAAAUGGAGAAGAGAACCAAAACGGCAACGCGGUCAAGGUAGUGAUGAACAUAGUGAGGUACUGAACUCAGGAAAAACCUCCUGAAGCAUUUUUCUGUGAUCAUGCAGCUUAGUCUCAAAAUAGUGGAUAGAAUAGUCAUCAAAUGUUGGACAAAGCACAAGCUCUACAAUGACUUUGACAUCAAAGACAUUGUCGACAAAGGAAAAAUCAUAAAGGGGCAAUCUGGAAAAAAAAGAAGUAAAAAUGAUCUAAUCAUAAAUGCAGUGGAAGCACUCAGAGUCUCUACAAUAUGCUUUUUAGUUGGCCAAUGCCACCAACGUUCCUCUUUCCAGCAGUGUUUAUUGAGAUUGGCUUUGGUCGGUUUUCUUAGUAUGGGAAUGACACAUAUUUCCUGGUGUAAAAUAUCAUCUCCUGAAUAAACAUAGCCAACUACACAGGUACAAAUGCCCUCAGAACGAUUAUGCCGCACACCAGGUGGUGAACCACUAGUUGUAUGAAAAUACUGCAAACUCUCUUUCAAGAUACAGUCCACCCUAAACCAAACUGACUUUGUCUUCUUCCCAUGCAUAACAACACGGUCAUGACUGCCUUUGUUCUAAAUCCUUGUGUAGCGUUACAAAAUCCACAAAGGGCCGGAAGCCUGCUAAUGCCAGGUCUGAUUCAAUGCAUAAAACAUUGACCCAAACGGAUCACGGCCGUCAAUGAAUACACCAUUUUGUUCAAGAGUGCAAAACUCUCGUAACAAAGGAACACUUGCUGUUUGAGAGCCACACCUGGAGAAUGGAUACCUUACGUAGUGCUGCGCGGCUGACUGACUGAUCGAUCAGCAACAACCUAAUAUAUACUGAACACAGUUUAUGGAUUUCCUAUGAAGUAGAUCUGCAAUUGCAGAAGACAACAAAUAAUUGAUUUAUUAUUAUGUAAUCAAUAUAUAAACAUUUAAAUUCGCCUGAUUCUUGAGGACGCUUGCUACUUUGUGUGGCAGAGUGGCUCCGCUCACUUCAAUCUCCAUGUUUUUGGGUGUUCUAAAUCAGCUGACUUUCCAUCUUUCCGUCUUUUGUGUCUCCCCCUUCCGCGUCAUCGACGGCGCCUGCCUGUCUGCCGACUGAGGUUGGAGGUGGAAGCGUGGCCUUCAAGCCGGUACAGAUCCCCUUAGGCGUAGCAUCCAAUUCCUACGCUAAAGCGGCGUCGUUGUGGUGCACCACCCUGGCGUGGGAGCACUAAAGCUUCUACGUCCCGCCAGUGGCUCAC
Molecule: long non-coding RNA, 5138 nt
Organism: Gasterosteus aculeatus aculeatus (three-spined stickleback)
Lineage: Eukaryota; Metazoa; Chordata; Actinopteri; Perciformes; Gasterosteidae
Source: Ensembl